Long non-coding RNA from Nomascus leucogenys (northern white-cheeked gibbon), 186 nucleotides. RefSeq lists it as uncharacterized. Lineage: Eukaryota; Metazoa; Chordata; Mammalia; Primates; Hylobatidae. The record is from RefSeq and is a predicted model, not a curated record.
CGGUGGGCUUCACAAGCUGUGGGGCGUCACUGUUAAGGUGAGGUGAGAGAAUUGAGGUUUGGAGUUGUUAAGCAGCUUGCCCAAAGUCACCUUGCAGAAGAUCCCUCUGGCUGCCAUAAGGAGAAUGGAUUGGAAGGAGCCAGUAUGCCUGAGGAAGAUAGAGCUUUUAGGAGUCUCUUGUAGUUG